UGAGGAAUAUUGGGCAAUGCCCGCAAGGGUGACCCAGCAACGCCGCGUGGAGGAUGAAGGCCGUAAGGUCGUAAACUCCUGUGAGAAGGGAUGAAAACUCAGAAUUCGUAAGGGUUCUGAUUUGACCGUACCUUCAGAGGAAACCCCGGCUAACUACGUGCCAGCAGCCGCGGUAAUACGUAGGGGGUUAGCGUUGUCCGGAUUUACUGGGUGUAAAGGGCGCGUAGGCGGGUCUGUAAGUCAGAGGUGAAAUCCCACAGCUUAACUGUGGAGCUGCCUUUGAUACUGCGGAUCUUGAGUUCAGAAGAGAGAGAUGGAAUUCCAGGUGUAGUGGUGAAAUACGUAGAUAUCUGGAAGAACACCAGUGGCGAAGGCGAUCUCUUGGUCUGUAACUGACGCUGAGGCGCGAAAGCGUGGGUAGCAAACA
RNAcentral lists this ribosomal RNA (427 nucleotides) under uncultured Ignavibacterium sp. Its description in RNAcentral is "partial 16S ribosomal RNA". It matches the Rfam family "Bacterial small subunit ribosomal RNA", at positions 355 to 774 of the family's 1533-position model. The record is from RNAcentral. Lineage: Bacteria; Pseudomonadati; Ignavibacteriota; Ignavibacteria; Ignavibacteriales; Ignavibacteriaceae.